GCGAGUGAAGCGGCAAAAGCUCAAAUUUGAAAUCUGGCAUCUUCGAUGUCCGAGUUGUAAUUUGAAGAUUGAAGGUUCAUUGGGUCUUGUCUAUGUUCCUUGGAAUAGGACAUCACAGAGGGUGAGAAUCCCGUGCGAUGAGAUUCCGUAUUGUAACCUUCUUUCGACGAGUCGAGUUGUUUGGGAAUGCAGCUCUAAGUGGGUGGUAAAUUCCAUCUAAAGCUAAAUAUUGGCGAGAGACCGAUAGCGAACAAGUACAGUGAUGGAAAGAUGAAAAGAACUUUGAAAAGAGAGUGAAAAAGUACGUGAAAUUGUUGAAAGGGAAGGAUAUGAGAUCAGACUUGGUAUUUUGCAACCUUACCUUCGUGGUGGGGCCCCUGCAGUUUACUGGGCCAGCAUCAAUUUGGAUGAUGGGAUAAUGACUCAGGAAUGUAGCUCUACUUCGGUGGAGUGUUAUAGCCUGUGUUGAUACCGUCUAUCUAGAUUGAGGACUGCGUC
RNAcentral lists this ribosomal RNA (498 nucleotides) under Debaryomyces sp. HB79. Its description in RNAcentral is "eukaryotic LSU rRNA". It matches the Rfam family "Eukaryotic large subunit ribosomal RNA", at positions 89 to 601 of the family's 3401-position model. Lineage: Eukaryota; Fungi; Ascomycota; Pichiomycetes; Serinales; Debaryomycetaceae. The record is from RNAcentral.